Colossoma macropomum (tambaqui) is the source of this 379-nucleotide long non-coding RNA. RefSeq lists it as uncharacterized. The record is from RefSeq and is a predicted model, not a curated record. The transcript has 3 exons. Lineage: Eukaryota; Metazoa; Chordata; Actinopteri; Characiformes; Serrasalmidae.
AUGAUCCCCGCAAAAUGUGCGUGUUAGUGUUCGCGUUUCGCCAGUUUGCUUGUGACAUAGAGGAACUUGUCAUGGAGCCUGGUAAGAGGAGAAGAGUCUCCCCUGUAUGGCAACACUUUGAGCAGAUCUCUCCCAGUUAAGUGUUUGUUGUGUGCCAAGCAACUGGGGUACAACAACAGCACCUCAUCUAUGCUGAGGCAUUAUCGGGCCUAUCAUGAAAAUAGUGAGGGGAAAGGAGUCGGACCAGCCAAGGCAGUGACCAGAAAGGAGGAGCUGGAUGAGGCUUUGGUCUCCAUGAUUGUUAAAGACACACAGCCAUUCAGCAUAGUUGAGGAUAAAGGCUUCAGGGACUUUGUAGCUAAAUUGGAUCCAACCUAUG